RNAcentral lists this long non-coding RNA (738 nucleotides) under Malus domestica (apple). Its description in RNAcentral is "long non-coding RNA (MDOM_LNC009239)". The record is from RNAcentral. Lineage: Eukaryota; Viridiplantae; Streptophyta; Magnoliopsida; Rosales; Rosaceae.
AUAAGCACGUUAAUAAACACUUAAAGUAAUAAUUUAAUCCUCAACAUCUACAUAAUUUUAUGGAUUAAUUUCAGUUUAGUACUCUAAAAUAUCUUGAUUUUCAACAUUUCAUACAUCAAGUUUUUUUUGUCACAAAAGUGGUACCUAAAGUCAUAAUUAUGGAACAAUUUCAUACUUCCGUUAAGUUGUCUGUUAAAAUAGGCGUUAACUUAUGACGUGGUGCCCGCAUGGACAGUGACUAGGCGUCACAUGAAAAUUAAAAAAUUGAAUAAAAUUAAAAAAUUAUAAAAAUAUUAAAAAUUGAAGUCGCCAUUUCUAGCCUGGCAGUCCUCCAUCUUUCCUAUCCUUUCAUCUUCUUUUAUUGUUCAUGUUUUUCAAUAACUAAACUGCAAAAAAAUUGUAGAAAAUCAACACACCAAUUAAUUCAGGAACCCACAUCCCAUAAAUCAAACCAUGUUUGAUAUAAACUUAAAUUCGUCAUAAAAAAAAUUGUGGCCAAAUUUGUUGACCAGUUGUCGCCUCCAUGUCAACCAUCUUCGAAAUCAGCAAUCAGUACCUUAAUCGGGCUCUAGCGGAGUUUUCUCUCUCCUCACCCAUCAAAACCAACCCUCUUUGUGUCACAACACUUCCAGCCUCAACCGCCACCAAAUCUAGUCUCUCUAUCCUAUCUCCCUCACACAGUCUCACCCUCUCACUCUAAAACUCAAACCACCAUAAUGGGAGCCUCCCUCACAAUCU